Molecule: transfer RNA, 79 nt
Filed under: Cordylochernes scorpioides
Lineage: Eukaryota; Metazoa; Arthropoda; Arachnida; Pseudoscorpiones; Chernetidae
Description: tRNA-Thr
Source: RNAcentral
UAAAGUGUCCAGGGAUGGGAAUGGAACCCACAGUGUUCCGCUUACCGGGCAGAUGCCAUGUCCACUAGGCUACUAUUUC